UGAAGGAAGCUCAGCCUGUCUUGAUAUGAAAGGGACAGUGUCCAGAGAUGAAGCUGGACACCAGGCAGGUCGGCCUCAGAGUCCUUCGUAAGUCAGCUUUUCCACUGGGCCUGGCCCAGGCCCUGCUCACCCAGUAUGGAUGGCCUGGUUGUCAAAGUCUGCACAGGAGAGAAGAGUUCCAGAAGGAAGAAGGUUAAACAUCCAAAGACUACGGGCAACCCUGGCCCCCUUUGCUGGUGGGGGUCUGUCGGGAGCUCUGCUGACUUCUGUUUCAGUGACCAGUGGAGAAGAGCGGCCCCGAUGAUGAGGAGAAACGGGAGCAGAAUCAACCAUCCGGAUCAUUCGCAUACUAGAUACCUGGACUACGAAGAGAUGACAUACACAAAACAGCAAAUCCUACAACACAGUGAAUGAGAUCACGGGUUCUUCAAAGGGGUUCUGCGUUCUGUUUGGGGGAAGAACUGACUCCAUCAUGAGUUUGGGAGACGGACUGGGACAAAGUUGUGGUGCACCCAGUCUCCUAUAGAGAGACCUUUGGCCGUGAGGAAGAGUGCAGUGGUCGGUUGCCCCAGUAAAC
Molecule: long non-coding RNA, 577 nt
Organism: Globicephala melas (long-finned pilot whale)
Lineage: Eukaryota; Metazoa; Chordata; Mammalia; Artiodactyla; Delphinidae
Source: RefSeq, a predicted model, not a curated record